UCCAGGUUGGCUGGAUGGACUGGUCGGGAGGUUGGAUCUCGCUCCCCGAUGCUGUGGCCUGGGUUCCCAGCACUCAGCAUCCUGGAUCCCCACUCUUCUAGGAGACAGAUUUGACCUGAAUCAGGAGCCCCAGCUGAACCGGAGCAUUGGACUCCGUGUUGCGGUGUGACCGCCGCAAGGUGGCAGCAGAAUCUGGAGCUCUUCGCUGACGUCAGGUCCAGACCCCUUCGUGUUGGCAAAGAUCUGCCCAG
Molossus molossus (Pallas's mastiff bat) is the source of this 251-nucleotide long non-coding RNA. RefSeq lists it as uncharacterized. The transcript has 2 exons. The record is from RefSeq and is a predicted model, not a curated record. NCBI's taxonomy places the organism in Eukaryota, Metazoa, Chordata, Mammalia, Chiroptera, Molossidae.